This 440-nucleotide ribosomal RNA is filed under the name uncultured bacterium. RNAcentral describes it as "partial 16S ribosomal RNA". It matches the Rfam family "Bacterial small subunit ribosomal RNA", at positions 338 to 795 of the family's 1533-position model. The record is from RNAcentral.
CCUACGGGUGGCUGCAGUGAGGCAUAUUGCACAAUGGGGGAAACCCUGAUGCAGCGACUCCGCGUGAGUGAAGAAGUAUUUCGGUAUGUAAAGCUCUAUCAGCAGGGAAGUAAAUGACGGUACCUGACUAAGAAGCCCCGGCUAACUACGUUCCAGCAGCCGCGGUAAUACGUAGGGGGCAAGCGUUAUCCGGAUUUACGGGGUGUAAAGGGAGCGUAGACGGCAGCGCAAGUCUGUAGUGAAAUCCCAUGGCUUAACCAUGGAACUGCUUGGGAAACUGUGCAACUGGAGUGCAGGUGAGGUAGGCGGAAUUCGUAGUGUAGCGGUGAAAUGCGUAGAUAUUAGGAAGAACACCAGUGGCGAAGGCGGCGUACUGGACUGUAACUGACGUUGAGGCUCGAAAGCGUGGGGAGCAAACAGGAUUAGAUACCCGUGUAGUC